GACAGAGGGUGCAAACGUUGUUCGGAAUUACUGGGCGUAAAGCGCGUGUAGGCGGUCGUGCAAGUCGGGUGUGAAAGCCCUCGGCUCAACCGGGGAAGUGCACUCGAAACUUCAUGACUAGAGUCUCGGAGAGGAUAGUGGAAUUCUCGGUGUAGAGGUGAAAUUCGUAGAUAUCGAGAGGAACACCGGUGGCGAAGGCGGCUAUCUUGACGAUGACUGACGCUGAGACGCGAAAGCGUGGGGAGCAAACAGG
Molecule: ribosomal RNA, 253 nt
Filed under: uncultured bacterium
Lineage: Bacteria
Description: partial 16S ribosomal RNA
Rfam family: Bacterial small subunit ribosomal RNA
Source: RNAcentral